UGUCCUCCAUGGGUCUUGCCUCAGCAUGUGUCUUGAGUCAGCACAAGAGUCUAUCUUAGCUGACAUCACUCUUCCAAUCAGCCCGAGUCUGUGCACGUGGCCAGAAGCUGCAGCACACCAACAGAAGCAUUUUCGGUGUGUUUGUCUUUAUGGAGUCCCAGCAAACGCAGCUCAACUACACAAUGUAAGGCAGACCAAUAUAUGUGUGUCAUUAGCAAAGACUCGUUCAUCACAUGUCCUCUCAUGUGCUUGUUUUAGUAGAACAUCAUCUCUUCUGUGUCUGCUUCAGCCAAAUGUUCCUUCCCCUGUGUCCACCUCAGGAAAACACUUCUUCACUCGUUUGCCCCAGCAAAACACCAUCCGACCAACUUUCCAAAGACACCCUUAAGUUCACAUUUCACUUGCCCACUCUUACCCUUGGUUUCCAGGAUGUAUGAUGGAAGGGAUGAUCUGUCAGAAAGGGCUGGAGCCACACAAUGACAAGGAGCUGCCCCCUUAACAUGGAGCAGUUGUGCUAGCUGUAAAGGCGACUUGAUGUUGUUUUCUGAGCCUCGGUUUCCUUCUCUGUUAACCAGGAAUUGUAGAACUCUCAAGAUGAGAAGCUGAUGAGAAUGAAAGUGGGCAAGGACCCAUCAAUUAUAAAACACCACCGAGAUGGGAAGUGUCAUGAUGAUUUAUUUAUAAAGACCCAAGGGUUGUCCAAAGAUGUAUUUUUCUGCAUCUUAAUUCCUGCAUCUCUUCUUUGGGACACCUCAUCUCCCCUUAAUACCUCCCUGUGCUGGUACAGCCUCUCCUGCUGAUCUCUAAAUUAGCACAUCCUCCAUCCACUCCCCUCCAGAGAAUUUCAAUUCCUUUAAUCCAAUGAAAUGAGAAGUUCAGGCCAUCAUCUUCAAAGAAUAAGAAUAAAAUUUGGGGACCAAAAUUAUACCCAUCGGGAUUGCCUCUGUAGAAACACUUUGGAAUUCUUUUUCAUGCCCUAUUAAAUAAUUAAAAUGUUUCUUUUUC
This 1005-nucleotide long non-coding RNA is filed under the name Mus musculus (house mouse). RNAcentral describes it as "RIKEN cDNA 3110018I06 gene". Lineage: Eukaryota; Metazoa; Chordata; Mammalia; Rodentia; Muridae. The record is from RNAcentral.